AUGCACUCACACACGCAUGCAACACACACCUGCGUGCACACACAUGCACUCACAUCCGCAUGUGCAACACACCUGUGUAGACACACACAUGCACUCACACACGUGCACGUGACACACACCUGCGUACACACCCAUGCACUCACACCCACGUGUCCAACACACCUGUGCACACACAUGCACUCACACCUGACUUGCACACCUGUGCACACACACGCACUCACACCUGCAUGUGCAACACACACCUGUGUACACACCUGCAAUCACACAUCUGUGCACGCAACACACACCUGCAUACACAUGCACUCGCACGCACAUGUGCCCCACACCUGUGUACACACACAUGCACUCACACACGUGUGCAAGCAACACACACCUGCAUACACACAUGCACACACCUGUGCAUGCAACACACACCUACAUACACACACACGCACUUACACCUGUGUCUGCAACACACCUGUGUACACACACACACUCACAUUUGCAACACACCUGCACUCACACAUGUGCAACACACCUGUAUACACACAUGCAUGCACACCCACGUGUGCCACACAUCUGCACACACAAGCACUCACACACGUGUGCAUGCAACACACACCUGCGUACACACAUGCACUCACAUCCGCGUGUGCAACACACCUACACUCACACGUGUGCAUGCAACACACACCUGCAUACAAACACAUGCACUCAUACCCGCAUGUGCAACACACACCUGCACUCACACGUGUGCACACAACCCACACCUGCAUACACACAUGCACACACGUGUGCUUGCAACACACCUACGUGUACACACACAUGCACUCACACCCACGUGUGCAACACACCUGCGUACACACACAUGCACACACGUGUGCACGCAAAACACCUGCAUACACAUGCACUCACACCCACAUGUGCAACACACCUGCAUACACACAUGCACUCACACGUGUGCAUGCAACGCACACCUGCGCACACACAUGCACUCACCCGUGUGUGCAACACACCUGUGUACACACCUGCACACACGCAUGCAACACACCUGCACACACGCACUCACACCCACGUGUACAACACACCUGCGUACACACAUGCACUCACACACGUGUGCAUGCAACACACGCACUCAAACUCGCAUGUGCAACACACCUGUGUACGCACACACGUGCAACACACCAUGCACAUGCACUCACACACGUGCACACAACACACACCUGCGUACACACACAUGCACUCACGUGUGCACCCAACACACAGGCAGGCUGA
Molecule: long non-coding RNA, 1254 nt
Filed under: Papio anubis (olive baboon)
Lineage: Eukaryota; Metazoa; Chordata; Mammalia; Primates; Cercopithecidae
Description: lncRNA (ENSPANG00000041146.1)
Source: RNAcentral